Psammomys obesus (fat sand rat) is the source of this 103-nucleotide small nuclear RNA. The record is from RefSeq and is a predicted model, not a curated record. NCBI's taxonomy places the organism in Eukaryota, Metazoa, Chordata, Mammalia, Rodentia, Muridae.
GUGCUCAUUUAAGCAGCACAUAUACCAAAAUUGGACCAUAUUGAGAUUUCCAUGACCCUUGCGAAAGAAUGACAUGCAAAUUCAUGAAGCAUUUUCAUAUUUU